This 733-nucleotide long non-coding RNA is filed under the name Suricata suricatta (meerkat). RNAcentral's name for it is "lncRNA (ENSSSUG00005019054.1)". Lineage: Eukaryota; Metazoa; Chordata; Mammalia; Carnivora; Herpestidae. The record is from RNAcentral.
ACAGUGACCAACCUGGAGGGGACUGCCCACUCUGCCCCAGCAGCAUCUGUUAGCCUCCCCACACCUUCACCAGGCUCCCCCAGAACCACCUCUAACCAGAUGACUCAUCUUUCAUUUCCAGACUGGUCUUGGCUCUGAGCCUCAGACUGGAGGCCUCAUCUUGGGGACAAAUGGAGCUGCCAAUUCCCACAAACCUGCUCCCCCUGCCACAGCUUCCCUUCUCCCGUGAUGUGACCGUGUGCCCAAGCUUCGGAGUGGAGUUGUGCCUGUCCAGCCAGGAUGAUGCUCUGUGGGACCUUCCUGGAUGGAGUCGGCUAAAGAUUUUGAACCUUUACUCAUCAAAACCCAUCUUCUGAAACGGCUCAUUCAACUGUAACCUCCCAGUGGGAGCUCCCGGGGCUUCUCUCCAGGUUCUUGGAACAGGCACCGAUUUGAAAUUUCCAUGCACAUUCAGAAAUGCUCACCCAAGCAGCAGCCUUAGGUGGAGUCCGAAGGGUCCAUUCCCGACCACCGGAGACACACACCUCAGGAAGCAGUGGUCGUUCAGUGGGGGAGGUGUGAAAUGCUGAAAGGCAGAGGUUUGCUCAGACACAAUUUAUGUUACCUGAAAAAAAGAAUUAUGCUGCACCAGGGCUUUUUGUUGCACAUACUGAUCUCUCCCUGUUGUUGAUUCGGUUUUGUUGUUGUUCUCUAAGUUUGACUGUCGCAUAUCUGAAUUAAAUACUUUCAUGAA